CGGAGGAAAAGAAACCAACAGGGAUUGCCCCAGUAACGGCGAGUGAAGCGGCAAGAGCUCAAAUUUGAAAGCUGGCUCCUUCGGGGUCCGCAUUGUAAUUUGUAGAGGAUGCUUCGGGAGCGGUCCCCAUCUAAGUGCCCUGGAACGGGACGUCAUAGAGGGUGAGAAUCCCGUAUGGGAUGGGGGUCCGCGCCCGUGAG
Molecule: ribosomal RNA, 200 nt
Filed under: uncultured Trichocomaceae
Lineage: Eukaryota; Fungi; Ascomycota; Eurotiomycetes; Eurotiales; Trichocomaceae
Description: partial 26S ribosomal RNA
Rfam family: Eukaryotic large subunit ribosomal RNA
Source: RNAcentral